GGGUUGUAUUUAUUAGAUAAAGAACCAAUAUUUUUGGUGACUCAUAAUAACUUUACGGAUCACAUUAUGUGACAUAUCAUUCAAGUUUCUGACCUAUCAGCUUUAGACGGUAGGGUAUUGGCCUACCGUGGCUAUGACGGGUAACGGGGAAUUAGGGUUCGAUUCCGGAGAGGGAGCCUGAGAAACGGCUACCACAUCUAAGGAAGGCAGCAGGCGCGCAAAUUACCCAAUCCUAAUACAGGGAGGUAGUGACAAGAAAUAACAAUACAGGACCUUACGGUUUUGUAAUUGGAAUGAGUUAAGUAUAAACCCCUUAACAAGUAUCAAUUGGAGGGCAAGUCUGGUGCCAGCAGCCGCGGUAAUUCCAGCUCCAAUAGCGUAUAUUAAAGUUGUUGCAGUUAAAAAGCUCGUAGUUAAUUUUCUGUUAAUUUUUAUAUACAAUACUACGGUAUUUAUAUAAUAUUAACAUAAUUCAUAUUACUUUUUAGUAUAUGAAACUUUACUUUGAGAAAAUUAGAGUGCUUAAAGCAGGCUAUUGCCUUGAAUACUCCAGCAUGGAAUAAUAUUAAGGAUUUUUAUUCUUCUUAUUGGUUCUAGAAUAAAAAUAAUGAUUAAUAGGGACAGUUGGGGGCAUUUGUAUUUAACAGUCAGAGGUGAAAUUCUUAGAUUUGUUAAAGACAAACUACUGCGAAAGCAUUUGCCAAGGAUGUUUUCAUUAAUCAAGAACGAAAGUUAGGGGAUCGAAGACGAUCAGAUACCGUCGUAGUCUUAACCAUAAACUAUGCCAACUAGAGAUUGGAGGUUGU
Molecule: ribosomal RNA, 806 nt
Filed under: Cryptosporidium sp. deer genotype
Lineage: Eukaryota; Apicomplexa; Conoidasida; Eucoccidiorida; Cryptosporidiidae
Description: SSU rRNA
Rfam family: Eukaryotic small subunit ribosomal RNA
Source: RNAcentral